This 73-nucleotide transfer RNA is filed under the name Ovis aries (sheep). It matches the Rfam family "tRNA". From Rfam's summary of the family: Transfer RNA (tRNA) molecules are approximately 80 nucleotides in length. Their secondary structure includes four short double-helical elements and three loops (D, anti-codon, and T loops). Further hydrogen bonds mediate the characteristic L-shaped molecular structure. tRNAs have two regions of fundamental functional importance: the anti-codon, which is responsible for specific mRNA codon recognition, and the 3' end, to which the tRNAs corresponding amino acid is attached (by aminoacyl-tRNA synthetases). tRNAs cope with the degeneracy of the genetic code in two manners: having more than one tRNA (with a specific anti-codon) for a particular amino acid; and 'wobble' base-pairing, i.e. permitting non-standard base-pairing at the 3rd anti-codon position. Lineage: Eukaryota; Metazoa; Chordata; Mammalia; Artiodactyla; Bovidae. The record is from Rfam by way of RNAcentral.
UCCCUGGUGGUCUGGUGGCUAGGACUCUGCACUCCCAAUGCAGGUGGCCUGGGUUCAAUGCCAGGUGAGGGAA